AUAGUUCCUUUGCAGAACCGCUACUUUGGUAGAUGUCAAAAAGUGAGUCUGAUAAUCCAUUGAGAAUGUGGCCCAUGCAGAUGUAAUCAUCAUUUUCCCACUUCUGUCUGUCUCUUGUUUCAGCAAUUCUUUCAUUUUCCCUCUCUGUUGGUCUUGUGGUAUUCAGAACAUACACCACUUUCAAGGUUGUGAGAAGGAAUUUCAUCUUUGUCUGCCAUCGGUUAAAAUGGCCUCCAUCAAACCUCUCCAAUUUCACAAAAUCAGAAGUCAUUUCUUUGAGUGAUGCAGCCAUUGAUUAAGAAAAAUAGAACCUAAAGAUUGUUGGAGAUUUUU
RNAcentral lists this long non-coding RNA (333 nucleotides) under Trifolium pratense (red clover). RNAcentral describes it as "long non-coding RNA (TPRA_LNC013068)". The record is from RNAcentral. Lineage: Eukaryota; Viridiplantae; Streptophyta; Magnoliopsida; Fabales; Fabaceae.